ACGUCGACACCUACGGAGGCAGCAGUGGGGAAUAUUGCACAAUGGGGGAAACCCUGAUGCAGCGACGCCGCGUGAAGGAAGAAGUAUUUCGGUAUGUAAACUUCUAUCAGCAGGGAAGAAGAAAGUGACGGUACCUGACUAAGAAGCCCCGGCUAACUACGUGCCAGGAGCCGCGGUAAUCUGAGCGGGCUGGCAAGGC
Molecule: ribosomal RNA, 199 nt
Filed under: uncultured bacterium
Lineage: Bacteria
Description: partial 16S ribosomal RNA
Rfam family: Bacterial small subunit ribosomal RNA
Source: RNAcentral